RNAcentral lists this ribosomal RNA (797 nucleotides) under Loxana lechatelieri. RNAcentral's name for it is "partial large subunit ribosomal RNA". Lineage: Eukaryota; Metazoa; Mollusca; Gastropoda; Stylommatophora; Helicidae. The record is from RNAcentral.
UUACUAGUCUUUCAUCUAUAUGCUUACACGAAAGGAGGUGAGUUAAAUAUAAUUAAACUAUAGGUGUAUUUGGAUACGUAGUAUAGUAGCCUGAUAAUUAUAUUUAGUAGUGAUAAGCUUAUCAAGCUUCUUGAUAACUUGUUGUGUAAGAAAUAUAUUAAGUAUUUAGUCGGACUAUAAAAGUUAAGCUUUAUAGUUACCAUAAAAAGUUAAAAAUUAUUAAGUUAUAGUUUAGUCAUUAAACUGCUUUUUAUAAUAAUAUUAAUCAAUUGGUGUUAUGUUAUUUAUUACACAAUAUAAUAAUAUUAUAAUGUAUUAAUAAUGUAAGUAUAAGUAGUAAUAAAAAAUAUUUUAAAGGAACUCGGCAAAUAUGUUGCUCGACUGUUUAUCAAAAACGUAACUAUAUGGAAUAAUGUAUAGCGGUUCUGCUCAAUGGAAAUCUAAAUAGCCGCAGUACACUGACUGUGCAAAGGUAGCAUAAUCAGUUGGCUUUUAAUUUAAGUCUGGGAUGAAUGAAAGUACGGGUAACAACUGUCUAUCUAUUAUAUUAUAAUAAAAUUAAUAAGCAAGUGCAAACGCUUGCAAAGGUAAAAAAGACGAGAAGACCCUAGAAACUUGUAUUUAUUAUUUUGUUGGGGCGACAGAAUUACAUAUUAAACUAAUUUUAAUGUACAUGACGUAUAUCAGACAGAGUAAGUUACUCUAGGGAUAACAGCAUAAUUUUUACAGUUUGUGACCUCGAUGUUGGACUAGGUAUAUAAUUUUUUAGAAGAAAAUUUGAAUGCUCUGUUCGAGCA